AUGUUCUCGCUUCAGCAACACAUAUACUGAAAUUGGAAUGAUACAGAGAAGAAUUGCAUGGCUCCUGCACAAGGAGAAAAAAAUGAUGACUUGGGGACCCAGAAUACCCU
Small nuclear RNA from Ochotona curzoniae (black-lipped pika), 110 nucleotides. Lineage: Eukaryota; Metazoa; Chordata; Mammalia; Lagomorpha; Ochotonidae. The record is from RefSeq and is a predicted model, not a curated record.